UACGUAGGUGGCAAGCGUUGUCCGGAAUUACUGGGUGUAAAGGGCGUGUAGGCGGGAAGGCAAGUCAGAUGUGAAAGCCCAUGGCUUAACUGUGGAACUGCAUCUGAAACUGUUUUUCUUGAGUACUGGAGAGGAAAGUGGAAUUCCUAGUGUAGCGGUGAAAUGCGUAGAGAUUAGGAGGAACACCAGUGGCGAAGGCGGCUUUCUGGACAGUAACUGACGCUGAGGCACGAAAGCGUGGGUAGCGGACAGGAUUAGAUACCCGCGUAGU
RNAcentral lists this ribosomal RNA (271 nucleotides) under uncultured prokaryote. RNAcentral's name for it is "partial 16S ribosomal RNA". It matches the Rfam family "Bacterial small subunit ribosomal RNA", at positions 524 to 794 of the family's 1533-position model. The record is from RNAcentral.